RNAcentral lists this small nucleolar RNA (68 nucleotides) under Choloepus hoffmanni (Hoffmann's two-fingered sloth). RNAcentral describes it as "Small nucleolar RNA SNORD112 (ENSCHOG00000015895.1)". Lineage: Eukaryota; Metazoa; Chordata; Mammalia; Pilosa; Megalonychidae. The record is from RNAcentral.
ACCAAUGAUGAGAUGUAACAUGAAUCAAAGAUUAUGGUUAAUCUGAUUCAGUGCAGCUGAGGUCAAUU